RNAcentral lists this long non-coding RNA (1092 nucleotides) under Helianthus annuus (common sunflower). RNAcentral's name for it is "hypothetical non coding rna". Lineage: Eukaryota; Viridiplantae; Streptophyta; Magnoliopsida; Asterales; Asteraceae. The record is from RNAcentral.
GGCUAUGAAAUUAAAACUCUAAACAAAACGGAUAGAUCUAACGGUCUCUUGUGAUACAGACACACCACACAAGAAAUCGAUUAGGGCAAACUAAACGAGAAUCAAGAUACAGAUACACCACUUGAUUCUAAUCUAGGCUCCAAGAACACCAUCCAAGUUGCCAAACUUGAACUAGCAUGGAAAUAAUUAAUCAACUCAUAAUCCAAUGAGAAAAUUAACCAAAGAAACUUUUUCAUAAACUCCAAAAAAACUGCCUCUUCUUUUAGCAAAUACGAUUACAUAUAGGAAAGAUAAAAAUAACUAACAACCCAUGUUCCUAUAUUAAAGCUAGUAACUAAACACUUUUCAAAUGAAAAUAACUGACGUACAUGAAAUGCAUUGAAAAGAAAAUAAAAUACUAGAAAAUUAAAGUAAGCUAGCCUAACAUGUGAGCUUGGGUGUUUGCAUGGGUACUCAACAUGAUUUGUGCGCAUCCAUCCUAACCCGACUCACCCAUUUUGACCGACUAUUGGAACGCGGGUUUUGGUUAGAUUGUACCUACGGCUAGCGGUUUCGAAUAGCCGGUCGGUCGCCUAUCAUUCUCUCGGUCUUCGAAAAAGUUUGUCCUCAAACUUGGGCCAAUCGCAACCGCACCAAAAUGUUGCAUCUCGCAUCGGUGGUGGUUUAGGGGGUAUUUCUUGUGGAAGAUCAUGCAUGUAGUAUUCAAGUAGUGAAAUGGACCAAUGGUAUGUUUCAACCAACAACAUCAGCUUGAACUUGGUUAAUUGAACUUUACAAAAUCGCUUGGAACCGUGAAAGGGUAGUAUCACCAAUUUAUCUCUUAAAAUAUCUUUCACAUAUUCUGGUCCACCAAUUUCCUCACAAGUAACCGCAUCCUCUUGUUUCUUCUGAAAAAUUUUACUCUCUUUUUGAUUAUUAAUCCCAUACUCGAGACCUUCAUCUUUCUUGCCCUUACCAUCCACAUCCACACUUGUGUUUACUGCAUUUUGGCCUGCAAAUCAUGUUCCCUGCCUUUUCUUGCAAAAUAACUGACGUACAUGAAAUGCAUUGAAAAGAAAAUAAAAUACUAGAAAAUUAAAGUAAGCUAGCCUA